Molecule: RNA transcript, 1043 nt
Organism: Phymastichus coffea
Lineage: Eukaryota; Metazoa; Arthropoda; Insecta; Hymenoptera; Eulophidae
Exons: 2
Source: RefSeq, a predicted model, not a curated record
AUGUACUUACUGAGAAGAAUACGGUUAGUCUGAAUGGUUAGGUAAUUCAAUGCUUCUAAUAGACAGAAAGUAUCACAACAAGUAUCGUGAGUUCGGAGUCUCGAAAACUAAUCCAUUUCGUUUUCAACAACUUGACCUUUGCAUCUCCCGUCCCUUGCUAUCAUUCAUACAGGUAAAACGAGGAAUUCGCAUCAGUGACUGUACCAUGGCUCAUUCAAUUGAAAAGCUGCAGUCCUUCAACAAGCCCAAGCAAACCGACGAAGCGAUCAGUGAACUACCGACCGAGUUGUUUCAAACUAUUUUCGACUAUCUAGAUGGUCGUACGCUAUUGAAUGCUGCUUUAGUGUCACAUAGGUGGCUAGGGAUUUGCAAAUUAAGAACGUUUCUGAGGAAGAAGAUUCGUACAAGCAUCGCCGUAAAGAAUCUCUGUUUGAUCAUUGGUGCGAUGCCGAACGAAGUUGAACAGUUCAUCAAUCAAUAACUUCAGUAUUGGGUUACAGUACAAUGUGACAUCAUUUAUAUCUUCUUCGUGUACAUCUGAUUAUUUUGAUUUUUUUAAUGUGAGCGCUGCUUAUUGACUUGAGCAUUCCAACUUGAAUAAGUUUGCUGGCAAAAUAAUUUACGUAGCUUACAUUGAAAAAUGUACUUUUUAAUUAAUUUUAUUAUAUUAUUCUGAAUAAUAUUAUUUUUUGACAAUUAUUGUUUUGAGAAAAAUGACGAUUAUGAGAAUUUGAACUGUCAGUAUUAAAAUAUUUGUAAAUAUACUUGAAAAAAAUACCAAAUACUUUUUUACUUGAAUUAAUUUUUCAUAAAUCCGGUUAAGUCUAUACGACUUAUAAACCUUAACAGCCAUUCAAAAGUAUGUAUUUUAAACAGGAAUAGACAGUUAUCUACUUAACAAAUCACUUCUUUUAAUUCAAAGCUGCUCCUCCUAAACUAAUCAAAUUUUAAAAUUUUGUAGUGGACCACGCCUACACGUAACCGCUAAGAUAAUUAUCUGUUAUGUUGUCGCAGUGGGAAUUUUAUACUGAGAGUAGUAACAA